AUUGGGUAGGGGAGCGUUCUGUAAGCGGUUGAAGGUGUGUGGUAACGCAUGCUGGACGUAUCAGAAGUGCGAAUGCUGACAUGAGUAACGAUAAAGGGGGUGAAAAACCUCCUCGCCGGAAGACCAAGGGUUCCUGUCCAACGUUAAUCGGGGCAGGGUAAGUCGACCCCUAAGGCGAGGCCGAAAGGCGUAGUCGAUGGGAAACGGGUUAAUAUUCCCGUACUUCUUACAAUUGCGAUG
Molecule: ribosomal RNA, 240 nt
Filed under: Vibrio parahaemolyticus
Lineage: Bacteria; Pseudomonadati; Pseudomonadota; Gammaproteobacteria; Vibrionales; Vibrionaceae
Description: partial 23S ribosomal RNA
Rfam family: Bacterial large subunit ribosomal RNA
Source: RNAcentral